AAUCAACGCUGGCGGCGUGCCUAACACAUGCAAGUCGAACGCGAAAGGGACUUCGGUCCUGAGUAGAGUGGCGAACGGGUGAGUAACGCGUGGGUGACCUACCCUCGAGUGGGGGAUAACGUUCCGAAAGGGACGCUAAUACCGCAUGACAUUCCGGGUUUGAAGACCUGGAAAUCAAAGCCGGGGACCGCAAGGCCUGGCGCUAGAGGAGGGGCCCGCGUCUGAUUAGCUAGUUGGCGGGGUAAUGGCCCACCAAGGCGACGAUCAGUAGCCGGCCUGAGAGGGCGGACGGCCACACUGGGACUGAGACACGGCCCAGACUCCUACGGGAGGCAGCAGUGGGGAAUUGUUCGCAAUGGGCGAAAGCCUGACGACGCAACGCCGCGUGGAGGAUGAAGGUCUUCGGAUUGUAAACUCCUGUUGAUCGGGACGAAAAGCUUCAACCCAAUACGUUGAAGACUGACGGUACCGGUUGAGGAAGCCACGGCUAACUCUGUGCCAGCAGCCG
This 508-nucleotide ribosomal RNA is filed under the name uncultured bacterium. RNAcentral's name for it is "bacterial SSU rRNA". It matches the Rfam family "Bacterial small subunit ribosomal RNA", at positions 29 to 517 of the family's 1533-position model. The record is from RNAcentral.